UGGGGGAUAUUGCACAAUGGGCGAAAGCCUGAUGCAGCGACGCCGCGUGGGGGAUGAAGGCCUUCGGGUUGUAAACUUCUUUUGCUCUGAACAAGGCGCACCAUGGGUGUGUUGAGUGUAGGGGUUGAUUAGCGCCGGCUAACUACGUGCCAGCAGCCGCGGUAAUACGUAGGGCGCGAGCGUUGUCCGGAAUUAUUGGGCGUAAAGGGCUUGUAGGUGGCUGGUUGCGUCUGUCGUGAAAGCUCAUGGCUUAACUGUGGGUUUGCGGUGGGUACGGGCUGGCUCGAGUGCAGUAGGGGAGGCUGGAAUUCCUGGUGUAGCGGUGGAAUGCGCAGAUAUCAGGAGGAAUACCGGUGGCGAAGGCGGGUCUCUGGGCUGUUACUGACACUGAGGAGCGAAAGCAUGGGGAGCGAACAGG
RNAcentral lists this ribosomal RNA (418 nucleotides) under bacterium. RNAcentral describes it as "partial 16S ribosomal RNA". It matches the Rfam family "Bacterial small subunit ribosomal RNA", at positions 355 to 776 of the family's 1533-position model. The record is from RNAcentral.